AACGAACGCUGGCGGCAUGCCUAACACAUGCAAGUCGAACGAGACCUUCGGGUCUAGUGGCGCACGGGUGCGUAACGCAUGGGAACCUGCCUUUAGGUUCGGAAUAACUCAGAGAAAUUUGAGCUAAUACCGGAUGAUGUCUUCGGACCAAAGAUUUAUCGCCUUUAGAUGGGCCCGCGUUGGAUUAGCUAGUUGGUGGGGUAAAGGCCUACCAAGGCGACGAUCCAUAGCUGGUCUGAGAGGAUGAUCAGCCACACUGGGACUGAGACACGGCCCAGACUCCUACGGGAGGCAGCAGUGGGGAAUAUUGGACAAUGGGCGAAAGCCUGAUCCAGCAAUGCCGCGUGAGUGAUGAAGGCCUUAGGGUUGUAAAGCUCUUUUACCCGAGAUGAUAAUGACAGUAUCGGGAGAAUAAGCUCCGGCUAACUCCGUG
Molecule: ribosomal RNA, 433 nt
Filed under: uncultured bacterium
Lineage: Bacteria
Description: partial 16S ribosomal RNA
Rfam family: Bacterial small subunit ribosomal RNA
Source: RNAcentral